CACGUAGGGUGCGAGCGUUGUCCGGAAUUAUUGGGCGUAAAGAGCUCGUAGGCGGUGUGUCGCGUCGGCCUGAAAACCUGCAGCUUAACUGUGGGCUUGCGGUCGAUACGGGCAUCACUGGAGUUCGGCAGGGGGAGACUGGAAUUCCUGGUGUAGCGGUGAAAUGCGCAGAUAAUCAGGAGGAACACCGGUGGCGAAGGCGGGGUCUCUGGGGCCGUAACUGACGCUGAGGAGCGAAAGCAUGGGGAGCGAACAGG
This 257-nucleotide ribosomal RNA is filed under the name uncultured bacterium. RNAcentral describes it as "partial 16S ribosomal RNA". It matches the Rfam family "Bacterial small subunit ribosomal RNA", at positions 524 to 776 of the family's 1533-position model. The record is from RNAcentral.